GCAUCCCAAUUUGAGAGAAGUAGAGAGCAAUUGCAAGUGAGCUCUUUCCACUUGAGUGUUCUAGUGAGCUCUUUGAGAGAAUUUGAGAGAGUUUCCACUUGAGUGUUCUAGUGAGGAUCCAUUUGGGUGUAUUAGGGUUGUGGGUUUUGUGAGUUUUUCCUACUUUUGUAAAUUCUCAUUAUUAGUAAAAUUAUCUCCCAGUCUUUGCCCAUGGACGUAGGCAUUACGCCGAACCACAUAAAUUAUUGUGUCCUAUUUUCUUUGCAUUUAUUUGUCACAUUUAUAUUUCUCCAAAAGUUACAGUCAUUGUAAUAUUGGUAAUUGCUCGACCUCGCACUUCCGCAACAAAACAUUCAUGGGAAGCAAUGUUGGAAUACAAAACUGCGAGAAAACGUAAUGCUUUGAGCGUGUUGGACGCACUGAAAGAUGAUGAAAAUUUACUUUGCCAAAGAUAAUUCCUCUUUAUAAUGAUAAUUUCAAUUUUGUUUGUUUCAAAGAAAUCAAUGAGAGGAUUUCAUGCUUUCUAAUUAAUUCCUCCAAUAAAUUUAAUAAUAUUUACAUUGUAAAAUAAUUUCAAUACUUAGAAAAUAUUUUAAUACUUUACAACCUAUUAGAUAUAUUUUAUUAUAUAACAUUAAAUUUAUAAUAAAUAGAAUCAUAAUAUUAAAACAAGUG
This 675-nucleotide long non-coding RNA is filed under the name Citrus sinensis (sweet orange). RNAcentral's name for it is "long non-coding RNA (CSIN_LNC005295)". Lineage: Eukaryota; Viridiplantae; Streptophyta; Magnoliopsida; Sapindales; Rutaceae. The record is from RNAcentral.